GACGAACGCUGGCGGCAUGCCUAAUACAUGCAAGUCGAGCGAACAGAUGAAGUGCUUGCACUUCUGACGUUAGCGGCGAACGGGUGAGUACCACGUAAGGAAUCUACCUAUAAGCGGGGGAUAACAUUCGGAAACGGGUGCUAAUACCGCAUAAUAUCUUCUUCCGCUUGGAAGAAGAUUGAAAGACGGCUCUGCUGUCACUUAUAGAUGACCUUGCGGUGCAUUAGUUAGUUGGUGGGGUAACGGCCUACCAAGACGAUGAUACAUAGCCGACCUGAGAGGGUGAUCGGCCACAUUGGGACUGAGACACGGCCCAAACUCCUACGGGAGGCAGCUGUAGGGAAUCUUCCGCAAUGGGCGAAAGCCUGACGGAGCAAUGCCGCGUGAGUGAAGAAGGCCUUCGGGUCGUAAAACUCUGUUAUAAGAGAAGAACAAAUUGUAGAGUAACUGCUACAGUCUUGACGGUAUCUUAUCAGAAAGCCACGGCUAACUACGUGCCAGCAGCCGCCGUAA
Molecule: ribosomal RNA, 513 nt
Filed under: uncultured bacterium
Lineage: Bacteria
Description: partial 16S ribosomal RNA
Rfam family: Bacterial small subunit ribosomal RNA
Source: RNAcentral